Crotalus tigris (Tiger rattlesnake) is the source of this 305-nucleotide long non-coding RNA. RefSeq lists it as uncharacterized. The transcript has 2 exons. The record is from RefSeq and is a predicted model, not a curated record. NCBI's taxonomy places the organism in Eukaryota, Metazoa, Chordata, Lepidosauria, Squamata, Viperidae.
UUGAGAAUGGAGCUGACUCUGUAUUUCCUAUGGCAAAGUUUUGUACAUUUUAACUUCAGUUCUUGGUCAAAGCACAGAGUAAAAAGCAACACAAGCCUCCUUAACUAGGGUAGCUGAAGAAUGGGCAAGAUCUUUCAAUCUCUAUGUGAAACCACCAUCAACACUGAUUCCACAAAGGAACAAGUCCAUACAGAACUGCUGACUGCGAAAGGAAAUUGCAUAAUGGGAAUGAAGAUAUGUUGAGUGUCAAUAUAAGUUAUUUAUAGGUGAAAUGUCAUCAUUAAAAUAGACAGGAUAUGCUUGCA